GGGCCUAUAGCUCAACUGGGAGAGCGCCAGAUUUGCAUUCUGGAGGCUAGCGGUUCGAGCCCGCUUAGGUCCA
Molecule: transfer RNA, 73 nt
Filed under: Pseudomonadota bacterium
Lineage: Bacteria; Pseudomonadati; Pseudomonadota
Also listed under: 1 other name
Description: tRNA-Ala
Rfam family: tRNA
About the family: Transfer RNA (tRNA) molecules are approximately 80 nucleotides in length. Their secondary structure includes four short double-helical elements and three loops (D, anti-codon, and T loops).
Source: RNAcentral